Molecule: ribosomal RNA, 460 nt
Filed under: uncultured bacterium
Lineage: Bacteria
Description: partial 16S ribosomal RNA
Rfam family: Bacterial small subunit ribosomal RNA
Source: RNAcentral
CCUACGGGAGGCAGCAGUGAGGAAUAUUGGUCAAUGGACGAGAGUCUGAACCAGCCAAGUCGCGUGAAGGAUGGAUGCCCUCUGGGUUGUAAACUUCUUUUAUAUGGGAAUAAACUGUUCCACGUGUGGGAUUUUGUAUGUACCUUAUGAAUAAGCAUCGGCUAACUCCGUGCCAGCAGCCGCGGUAAUACGGAGGAUCCGAGCGUUAUCCGGAUUUAUUGGGUUUAAAGGGAGCGUAGGUGGAUUGUUAAGUCAGGUGUGACAGUUUGGGGCUGAACCGUAAAAUUGCAGUUGAAACUGGCAGUCUUGAGUACGGUAGAGGUGAGCGGAAUUCGUGGUGUAGCGGUGAAAUGCGUAGAUAUCACGAAGAACUCCGAUGGCGAAGGCAGCUCACUGGACUGCAACUGACGCUGAGGCGCGAAAGUGUGGGUAUCGAACAGGAUUAGAUACCCCAGUAGUC